CACUCUCAAAAAUGUCCUGGCUUAAGACAAUAAGUUAUAUAGUACCUCAAUGUAUUUUCCUACCAGCAUUUGUGUUUCCUUUUAAACCCUGAGUUGGAGCUUGAAGCUAAAAGAUAAUCUUUUCAACCCCCAAAUCUUACAGAUGAGAGAUCAAGAAAUAUUAUCCAGUGGCUCUAUGCAGUUCAAAGGGUGGAAGAAAGAAGACCCAGUCAAGGUUUUUGGAUUGGCAGUCUCCAGGUGACAUCUGGUUUUUCUGCCUCCCCCCGAAGGUGGAACAGCAUUGGAAUAUAAUGAAGAGAAGAGUCUGGGAUCACUGCGCAGGCUGCACUGAGAAGGAAAGAGACUGGAAGCAGGAGCCCGCUGGAAAUCACCAAAGUUGUUGGUGUGGGUCAACAGGGUGGUUUCAAUGGGAUCAGAAAUGUCUGGGAUUUCAUGACUUCUGGAUGGUCAAGAAGAUUCACAAAUAUUUUUGCAAGUGACAGCUUUGAAGCCCUGAGACAGGCGGAGGUUUCAGGUAGACGCAGUACGCUGAUGGUGAGAAAACCACAGAGCCUUGUCUCAUGGAGCUUUUGGGUCUGUGGGGAAGACAAGCAACCAAACAAGCAAUGGCCAUCAAGCGAGGCAGAUGC
RNAcentral lists this long non-coding RNA (629 nucleotides) under Cercocebus atys (sooty mangabey). Its description in RNAcentral is "lncRNA (ENSCATG00000045414.1)". The record is from RNAcentral. Lineage: Eukaryota; Metazoa; Chordata; Mammalia; Primates; Cercopithecidae.